CUGGAGAAGAGAGGGGGAGAACUGGGUGUUUGUGCUUCUGUGUAAGGGGCAAGUUCAUCACCCACUGUGCCGUGAUGGCACACAAUGGAGGGUGGGUCUCCAUAGGGAAUGGAAGUGCUGCUGGCCACUGAACAGUCCCAAGCCCACAAAUGCUCACCACAAACGUUACUAUUUAAAUCCAGAAGAGAAGGCAGGUGCUUCUUGAUAAAACCAGGGCAGAGUUACAUGGUGUGGAGGAAAAGGGUGGGCUUGAGUUUCUGGCAAGCUCCAUAUGUAAGGGUUAAAAUCACCUGAGGUGAGGGACUCUAAGAGGCGCAGUGCUCAAACCUCCACUUGUACUGACUGUGUGACCUUGAGCAAGUGAUUUCAGCUCUCUGAGCUUCCGAGCUCUGAAGGCCCAGUUAGAUGAUACACCUAGAACACGCCUGGAACGAGAGCGGGUACAUGGCAAACACUAAGGAAGAUCUAGCUACGGUGAUUGCAGUGUCUUCUGUUUAGAGAAGAGGACUGGCUUCUCCUGCACCUGAGGCCUGGAGGGUAAAGCAGAGGAGCAGAAGCAAUAAACAUGGGAGAUGGAAGGAUCUGAAACCAGCAGAGGGCCCACGGUGUUUCAGGCCCUUUUCAAGGAUAAAGGUGUACAAAGAUGAAGAAACACAGUCCUUGCCUCCAGGGGUUUAGAGUCUAGUGUUCCUAUAACGUGUAAUAGCAAUACCUGUUAUUGAUCAACUUACAAUAUACCAGGCUCUACACUAAGUGUUUCCAGAAUAUUAUUUCAGCCAAUGUUUGUGAUAACUUCAGAGAUUGGUACUUGUCUUAGUCCAUUAUCUGUUGCUUAUAAUAGAAUAUCUGAAACUGGGCAAUCUAUAAAGAAAAGGAAUCUAUUUCUUACAGUUAUGGAGGCUGC
RNAcentral lists this long non-coding RNA (904 nucleotides) under Homo sapiens (human). Its description in RNAcentral is "HSALNT0330935". The record is from RNAcentral. Lineage: Eukaryota; Metazoa; Chordata; Mammalia; Primates; Hominidae.